CCUACGGGGGGCAGCAGUGAGGAAUAUUGGUCAAUGGACGAGAGUCUGAACCAGCCAAGUAGCGUGAAGGAUGACUGCCCUAUGGGUUGUAAACUUCUUUUAUAUGGGAAUAAAACGUUCCACGUGUGGGAUUUUGUAUGUACCAUAGGAAUAAGGAUCGGCUAACUCCGUGCCAGCAGCCGCGGGAAUACGGAGGAUCCGAGCGUUAUCCGGAUUUAUUGGGUUUAAAGGGAGCGUAGGUGGAUUGUUAAGUCAGUUGUGAAAGUUUGCGGCUCAACCGUAAAAUUGCAGUUGAAACUGGCAGUCUUGAGUACAGUAGAGGUGGGCGGAAUUCGUGGUGUAGCGGUGAAAUGCUUAGAUAUCACGAAGAACUCCGAUUGCGCAGGCAGUUCACUGGACUGCAACUGACACUGAGGCUCGAAAGUGUGGGUAUCAAACAGGAUUAGAUACCCGGGUAGUC
Molecule: ribosomal RNA, 460 nt
Filed under: uncultured bacterium
Lineage: Bacteria
Description: partial 16S ribosomal RNA
Rfam family: Bacterial small subunit ribosomal RNA
Source: RNAcentral